GUGGGGAAUAUUGGACAAUGGGGGCAACCCUGAUCCAGCCAUGCCGCGUGUGUGAAGAAGGCCUUCGGGUUGUAAAGCACUUUAAGUGGGGAGGAAGGCUCGCUGGUUAAUAGUCAGCGGGAGUGACGUUACCCACAGAAUAAGCACCGGCAAACUCCGUGCCAGCAGCCGCGGUAAUACGGAGGGUGCGAGCGUUAAUCGGAAUUACUGGGCGUAAAGCGCACGUAGGCGGUUUGUUAAGUCGGAUGUGAAAUCCCUGGGCUCAACCUGGGAGCUGCAUUCGAUACUGGCAGACUUGAAUACGGUAGAGGGGGGUGGAAUUCCAGGUGUAGCGGUGAAAUGCGUAGAGAUCUGGAGGAACACCAGUGGCGAAGGCGGCCCCCUGGACCGAUAUUGACGCUGAGGUGCGAAAGCGUGGGGAGCAAACAGGAUUAGAUACCCUUGUAGUCC
Molecule: ribosomal RNA, 450 nt
Filed under: uncultured bacterium
Lineage: Bacteria
Description: bacterial SSU rRNA
Rfam family: Bacterial small subunit ribosomal RNA
Source: RNAcentral